GAUGCUAAUACCGGAUAACAACAGAUGAUGCCUAUCAACUGUUUAAAAGAUGGUUCUGCUAUCACUCUUGGAUGGACCUGCGGUGCAUUAGCUAGUUGGUAGGGUAACGGCCUACCAAGGCGAUGAUGCAUAGCCGAGUUGAGAGACUGAUCGGCCACAUUGGGACUGAGACACGGCCCAAACUCCUACGGGAGGCAGCAGU
This 202-nucleotide ribosomal RNA is filed under the name uncultured Lactobacillus sp. RNAcentral's name for it is "partial 16S ribosomal RNA". It matches the Rfam family "Bacterial small subunit ribosomal RNA", at positions 159 to 355 of the family's 1533-position model. The record is from RNAcentral. Lineage: Bacteria; Bacillati; Bacillota; Bacilli; Lactobacillales; Lactobacillaceae.